UGACCGCUGGCGGCGUGCCUAAUACAUGCACGUCGAGCGAACAGACGAGGAGCUUGCUCCUCUGACGUUAGCGGCGGACGGGUGAGUAACACGUGGAUAACCUACCUAUAAGACUGGGAUAACUUCGGGAAACCGGAGCUAAUACCGGAUAAUAUAUUGAACCGCAUGGUUCAAUAGUGAAAGACGGUUUUGCUGUCACUUAUAGAUGGAUCCGCGCCGCAUUAGCUAGUUGGUAAGGUAACGGCUUACCAAGGCAACGAUGCGUAGCCGACCUGAGAGGGUGAUCGGCCACACUGGAACUGAGACACGGUCCAGACUCCUACGGGAGGCAGCAGUAGGGAAUCUUCCGCAAUGGGCGAAAGCCUGACGGAGCAACGCCGCGUGAGUGAUGAAGGUCUUCGGAUCGUAAAACUCUGUUAUUAGGGAAGAGCAAAUGUGUAAGUAACUAUGCACGUCUUGACGGUACCUAAUCAGAAAGCCACGGCUAACUACGUG
Molecule: ribosomal RNA, 495 nt
Filed under: uncultured bacterium
Lineage: Bacteria
Description: partial 16S ribosomal RNA
Rfam family: Bacterial small subunit ribosomal RNA
Source: RNAcentral